Molecule: long non-coding RNA, 217 nt
Organism: Lucilia sericata (common green bottle fly)
Lineage: Eukaryota; Metazoa; Arthropoda; Insecta; Diptera; Calliphoridae
Exons: 2
Source: RefSeq, a predicted model, not a curated record
GUGUUUAAGUAUGAGUAACAAUAUAAGUGGCUAUAAAAUACUUUGCGCCUCGCAAUUGAUUUUUGUUUUCGUUCGCCAGUAUCAGCGUUUGGUUGUUACUACCAAACCCGGUCAUUUACAAAUAAAAAAGCAAAAAAACUCCGACUCACAGUGUGUUUAAGUGUAUUAAAGCCCAAGAUGAAAGUCACCUUGGUUUUAGCUGCAUUCUGUGUGGCAG